RNAcentral lists this ribosomal RNA (497 nucleotides) under uncultured bacterium. RNAcentral describes it as "partial 16S ribosomal RNA". It matches the Rfam family "Bacterial small subunit ribosomal RNA", at positions 28 to 507 of the family's 1533-position model. The record is from RNAcentral.
GAUGAACGCUGGCGGCGUGCCUAAUACAUGCAAGUCGAGCGAACAGACGAGGAGCUUGCUCCUCUGACGUUAGCGGCGGACGGGUGAGUAACACGUGGAUAACCUACCUCUAAGACUGGGAUAACUUCGGGAAACAGGAGAUAAUACCGGAUAAUAUAUUGAACCGCAUGGUUCAAUAGUGAAAGACGGUUUUGCUGUCACUUAUAGAUGGAUCCGCGCCGCAUUAGCUAGUUGGUAAGGUAACGGCUUACCAAGGCAACGAUGCGUAGCCGACCUGAGAGGGUGAUCGGCCACACUGGAACUGAGACACGGUCCAGACUCCUACGGGAGGCAGCAGUAGGGAAUCUUCCGCAAUGGGCGAAAGCCUGACGGAGCAACGCCGCGUGAGUGAUGAAGGUCUUCGGAUCGUAAAACUCUUUUAUUAGGGAAGAACAAAUGUGUAAGUAACUAUGCACGUCUUGACGGUACCUAAUCAGAAAGCCACGGCUAACUACGUG